CCUACGGGUGGCAGCAGUGGGGAAUAUUGCACAAUGGUGGAAACCCUGAUGCAGCGACGCCGCGUGAGUGAAGAAGGAUUUCGGUAUGUAAAGCUCUAUCAGCAGGGACGAAAAUGGCGGUAGCUGAUUAAGAAGCCCCGGCUAACUACGGUCCAGCAGCCGCGGUAAUACGUAGGGGGCAAGCGUUAUCCGGAUUUACUGGGUGGAAAGGGAGCGUAGACGGCAGCACAAGUCUGGAGUGAAAUGCCCGGGCUUAACCCCGGAACUGCUUUGGAAACUGUUCAUCUAGAGUGCAGGAGAGGUAAGUGGAAUUCCUAGUGUAGCGGUGAAAUGCGUAGAUAUUAGGAGGAACACCAGUGGCGAAGGCGGCUUACUGGACUGUAACUGACGUUGAGGCUCGAAAGCGUGGGGAGCAAACAGGAUUAGAUACCCUUGUAGUC
RNAcentral lists this ribosomal RNA (440 nucleotides) under uncultured bacterium. RNAcentral describes it as "partial 16S ribosomal RNA". It matches the Rfam family "Bacterial small subunit ribosomal RNA", at positions 338 to 795 of the family's 1533-position model. The record is from RNAcentral.